CUGCACUCCAAGCUCAGGGUCAGUGAUUGGGCCCCCGGGGUCAGUGGUCAGUCACACCCCCACACGGACGGGUUCUCUCAUCAGGAAAGGGCCGGGAAAAUUCCGACACAGCCAGAAGCCUCAGACCCUUAACGGGAGUCGCCCAGUCACGUGUCAGGAUGGCUUCCCACAGUAUAGGACAUAAGUAGACUCUGCCCCAGCCCUGAAGGGACUCAGUGUCUGGUGGGAGACAGAUAAGUGAGUAAAGGUACACUCUUUUGUUUUGUUCCUCUUCAGCCCUUUUUAUUUUUUUAUUUUGAGCGAGGUUGUCACUAAGUUGCUGAGGCUGGCUUUCAACUCACCAUCCUCCUGCUUCAGCUUCCCGAGCUGCUGGAAUUACAGGCGUGCACCACCACAGCUGGCUGAGAUACACAGUUCAGAGUAAUCAAGGCUGUUAAGAAAGGCUCCCUGCCAGGGAUCUCCCUAUCAGCUGCGCCACCUUGCCUGGCCUUUUGGUGUUGUUUUUAAACAAAGGGUUUUGCUGCAUUGCCCAGGCUGGCCUUGAACUUGGGAUCCUUCUGCCUCAGCCUCCCCAGCAUGCACAUGUGCCAAUUAUAUAAAUAUAAUGUAAUCUAUUAAACCAUUACUCUAUUGGUGAA
This is a long non-coding RNA of Marmota monax (woodchuck), 638 nucleotides long. RefSeq lists it as uncharacterized. The record is from RefSeq and is a predicted model, not a curated record. The transcript is spliced from 3 exons. NCBI's taxonomy places the organism in Eukaryota, Metazoa, Chordata, Mammalia, Rodentia, Sciuridae.